GCUUGGCUGGCUCAGUCAGUAGAGCAUGUGACUCUUGAUCUCAGGGUUGUGAGUUCAAGACCCAUGUUGAGUG
This 73-nucleotide transfer RNA is filed under the name Canis lupus familiaris (dog). It matches the Rfam family "tRNA". Rfam says of the family: Transfer RNA (tRNA) molecules are approximately 80 nucleotides in length. Their secondary structure includes four short double-helical elements and three loops (D, anti-codon, and T loops). Further hydrogen bonds mediate the characteristic L-shaped molecular structure. tRNAs have two regions of fundamental functional importance: the anti-codon, which is responsible for specific mRNA codon recognition, and the 3' end, to which the tRNAs corresponding amino acid is attached (by aminoacyl-tRNA synthetases). tRNAs cope with the degeneracy of the genetic code in two manners: having more than one tRNA (with a specific anti-codon) for a particular amino acid; and 'wobble' base-pairing, i.e. permitting non-standard base-pairing at the 3rd anti-codon position. Lineage: Eukaryota; Metazoa; Chordata; Mammalia; Carnivora; Canidae. RNAcentral also lists the same sequence under 1 other name. The record is from Rfam by way of RNAcentral.